Small nuclear RNA from Otolemur garnettii (small-eared galago), 103 nucleotides. The record is from Ensembl. Lineage: Eukaryota; Metazoa; Chordata; Mammalia; Primates; Galagidae.
UUGCGUUAGCAGCAUAUAUACUAAAAUUGGAACAAUAUAGAGAAGAUUAGUACAGUCCCUGCUCAAGGAUGACAUGCAAAUUCAUGAAGCAUUCCAUAUUGUU